This 497-nucleotide ribosomal RNA is filed under the name uncultured bacterium. RNAcentral's name for it is "partial 16S ribosomal RNA". It matches the Rfam family "Bacterial small subunit ribosomal RNA", at positions 28 to 507 of the family's 1533-position model. The record is from RNAcentral.
GAUGAACGCUGGCGGCGUGCCUAAUACAUGCAAGUCGAGCGAACAGACGAGGAGCUUGCUCCUCUGACGUUAGCGGCGGACGGGUGAGUAACACGUGGAUAACCUACCUAUAAGACUGGGAUAACUUCGGGAAACCGGAGCUAAUACCGGAUAAUAUAUUGAACCGCAUGGUUCAAUAGUGAAAGACGGUUUUGCUGUCACUUAUAGAUGGAUCCGCGCCGCAUUAGCUAGUUGGUAAGGUAACGGCUUACCAAGGCGACGAUGCGUAGCCGACCUGAGAGGGUGAUAGGCCACACUGGAACUGAGACACGGUCCAGACUCCUACGGGAGGCAGCAGUAGGGAAUCUUCCGCAAUGGGCGAAAGCCUGACGGAGCAACGCCGCGUGAGUGAUGAAGGUCUUCGGAUCGUAAAACUCUGUUAUUAGGGAAGAACAAAUGUGUAAGUAACUAAGCACGUCUUGACGGUACCUAAUCAGAAAGCCACGGCUAACUACGUG